CACAGCUCGUUGUACUAGUGUUGUGGGAAUUGCAUCACUAGUUACUUUUGUCGGACGAUUGUAUUUCUUCAGCUCUUUUGGCACACGCUUUGCAAUAUUUCGAACUCGGUGAUAAAUGUAGCCGGAAUGAUCGCCACUAUUAUUGCCGCUCUGCCACCAGAAAAAUGCGGACUGUAAUAUAAAUAUGGAUUGAUGAAAACAAUCAAGUUGAACAUAUUGAAUACAUUACCUCGUCCGGGGUGUGGUACCUUGUGGUAUGCACAUAAUAAAUUAUUGUAUUACUCUAUUACGUUUAGCGUGUAUGUUUACAUUGAGUAUCUGUCAUAUGUGGAGAUGUUGUUAUUGUUGUCUAGAGUGUGAAUCAUUGUAUGUUAUAUUAAAGUAUCGGUAAUAAAGUGUAUACAAAUAAUGAAUACAGUUGUUGAAUAAUCAUUACAGAGAAAGAUUCUCACAUUGGCGACGAGAACGGUGAACAGUGCAUGUGAAAUUAGUUUAAUUUCGGUUCGGGAAGUGUUGUCUUUGGAAAAAGAAAGAGAUGAGUGGUGUGUGUGUGUGGUGCAUGCAGAGUGGUGAUGACCUCCAGGUGAUGACUUGUGAUUGAAUUUCAACAUUGGAAUCAAAAAGGUACAACCACAAGUAACGGCCAAGUAAUUUACCAAAAUGCCGAGCAGAGAUGGAUGACCAAAUGGAUGACUGUACUUCUAAUUUUGAUGUGAGACUGAAGCGAGACGUUUAUAAACUGAGGAGACUAUAAGCGAAACAACGUGGAGUGACCUUGCUGCGGAUCUGGAGAAAAAACGAGAUGUGGUACCUUGUGGUAUGCACAUAAUAAAUUAUUGUAUUACUCUAUUACGUUUAGCGUGUAUGUUUACAUUGAGUAUCUGUCAUAUGUGGAGAUGUUGUUAUUGUUGUCUAGAGUGUGAAUCAUUGUAUGUUAUAUUAAAGUAUCGGUAAUAAAGUGUAUACAAAUAAUGAA
Aedes albopictus (Asian tiger mosquito) is the source of this 976-nucleotide long non-coding RNA. RefSeq lists it as uncharacterized. The transcript is spliced from 2 exons. The record is from RefSeq and is a predicted model, not a curated record. Lineage: Eukaryota; Metazoa; Arthropoda; Insecta; Diptera; Culicidae.